UUCCAUGUCACAAAUGUGAAUUAAGUUACUGUAGCUUUUUACCUCGAAAAACACAUGAAAAAUAUGGUGUAGAAGAGUCCCAAAAGUUACCAAGUCUUCCUCUCCACAUAAGCCAGCCGUGCAAGCAAAGGAGCCGCACACACACGUGCCCGACAGGGGCUGAACCCUAGGCGUGCGACCUGUGCGCUUCACAGCUUAGUAGCCCACCCAAUAUGUCCAUUGGCUUGGGUAACCGCUAUUGUUGGGCCGCUGGGCUAUUCAGUCAGCCUGACCUUGGGUUUCAUGAUAGGCCCUUCAAAUUCUUCUCCUCGGGCGUGCGGCAUAGGUUGCACACUACCACGCGUGCUGGGCUGGUGCGCACGACCUGCUAGCCAGCAAGUUGUAGACCAAGUGUGGAUUUGGUAGCCCGUAUGCAGGAAUUUUUCCCACACACACAUUACCGGGUGAAACACGUGUAUGGCUUGUUGGCCUCCCUCUUAUUCGACAUAGACUGCACACUACCACACGUGCUGAGCUGGUGCGCACGACCUACUAGCCAGCAAGUUGUAGACCAAGUGCAGAUCUGAUAGCCCGUCUACAGGAAUUUUUCCCACGCACACAUUCCCGAGUGAAACACGUGUAUGGCUUGUUGGCCUCCCUCUUAUUCGAUUUUUCUUGUAUGCACAUUGACUUCGAGUUGAGGCUCUGUAUAUUUAUUUGGCCAUGGGC
RNAcentral lists this long non-coding RNA (708 nucleotides) under Carica papaya (papaya). RNAcentral describes it as "long non-coding RNA (CPAP_LNC009332)". The record is from RNAcentral. Lineage: Eukaryota; Viridiplantae; Streptophyta; Magnoliopsida; Brassicales; Caricaceae.